CGAAUGGCUCAUUAAAACAGUUAUAGUUUAUUUGAUGGUCUUUACUACAUGGAUAACCGUGGUAAUUCUAUGGCUAAUACAUGCGCACAUGCCUCUUCCCCUGGAAGGGCAGUGUUUAUUAGAUACAGAACCAACCCACCUUCCGGUGGUCCUCAGGUGAUUCAUAGUAACCGAACGGRUCGCGUUGACUUCGGUCUGCGACGGAUCAUUCAAGUUUCUGACCUAUCAGCUUUCGACGGUACUGUAUUGGACUACCGUGGCA
Molecule: ribosomal RNA, 262 nt
Filed under: Toxoplasma gondii
Lineage: Eukaryota; Apicomplexa; Conoidasida; Eucoccidiorida; Sarcocystidae
Description: partial small subunit ribosomal RNA
Rfam family: Eukaryotic small subunit ribosomal RNA
Source: RNAcentral